AGAAUCACUACUAAUAACUGUUUGCAUAAUAUAUUUACUUAAUAUCUUUUCAGGAUAGUUAGUCAAGAGAAGACAAUGCUUAAAACUGAGCACCGGGCCUAAACUGAAGUGCCUUGAGGAGUAGGUGAAAGAUGCUACAACAAAGAACAUCCCUUAUAAUCAUUUAAAUUGAACUUGGAUUGCCUAAAGAAUGAGAAAAGGAAACUAGUUUGAAUGGGACCACAGGCGGACUUGAAUCUAUCCUUAGAAUAACUCCAGGAUAGGAUUCUUACCUUGCAUACCAAAAGGAGACAAUAGAAAGAGAAUAGUGAAAUCCUG
RNAcentral lists this long non-coding RNA (318 nucleotides) under Phascolarctos cinereus (koala). RNAcentral's name for it is "lncRNA (ENSPCIG00000026372.2)". The record is from RNAcentral. Lineage: Eukaryota; Metazoa; Chordata; Mammalia; Diprotodontia; Phascolarctidae.